This 1771-nucleotide long non-coding RNA is filed under the name Homo sapiens (human). RNAcentral describes it as "SUGCT antisense RNA 1 (SUGCT-AS1)". The record is from RNAcentral. Lineage: Eukaryota; Metazoa; Chordata; Mammalia; Primates; Hominidae.
GAAUUAUGCUUGAAGAAGGUUAAUCUUAUAAUGGCAUGCAGAGCGGAGCUGGGCAAGGCCAGAGGCUAAAUAUGGAGCCAGAAAGAUACUGCAGAAAGUGAGCAAAAAGGAUGAGUGGAUGGCCUGGGGUGGAAUCCGUGAAAAAGGGCAGAUUGUCAGUCUCAGGAAAUCAACAGGACUGAGUUCUAACUUCAGCUGGGCUACUAUGCCCUGGGGAAUCAGAAGAUUCUCCCUAACAUUGGAGUCCAAAGAAGAGGAGCCACCAUCUCCUUAACUACAAAACAACUGAGAGAAGAAAUGUCUCCCUUUAGUGCCAGUGAAGAGUUUUGCUUCUCUAGAACAACUGUUUAUUUUUGAUCUUAUGAAACGCGUGACACUUGUAACUGAUUUGCCUUCUUUUUGCUUGCUGCUAGAAAUCUCAGAACCAAAUUCGAGGUCAUUUCUGAAUGUGCUGGACUACACAGCAUGAAUUCUGUGUCCUCUCACCUCAUUCAUAGAUACAUUUUUUUAUUCCUACCCAUCUUUUCCUUUCCCCAGAUUUUCCUAUUGCUCUUUUAUCAUCUUGAGUAAAGAAGGUUAAACUAUGAAUAAAAAGUACAAUCUCAAUGACGAGUCAGGGAAAAGUAAGUUUUGGACUUCCAUUUAGAGCCAUUUAUAGGUCAGCAAUCUUUUGUCUCUGUGUCUUCUUUCUGCCCUGAACAACCAAGGCAUCCUAGUCAGUCUCUCUUCAUCUGCAUACCACUUUAAAGAGCCCAGGGGUCUUCCAAGUACAGUCACUACUAAGAAAAUGUCUUCAGUAAAUUUUUUUUUUUUUUUUUUGAGAUGGAGUCUCGCUCUGUCGCCCAGGCUGGAAUGUAGUGGCACGAUCUCAGCUCACUGCAAGCUCUGCCUCCCGGGUUCACGCCAUCCUCCUGCCUCAGCCUCCCAAGUAGCUGAGACUACAGGCACCUGCCACCAUGCCCGGCUAAUUUUUUUUGUAUUUUUAGUAGAGACGGGGUUUCACUGUAUUAGCCAGGAUGGUCUUAAUCUCCUGACCUCAUGAUCCGCCCGCCUCGGCCUCCCAAAGUGCUGGGAUUACAGGCGUGAGCCCCCGCGCCCAGCCUUCAGUAAAAUUUUAAUGCAUGUUGCUUAUCAUUCUUUGUAUUGUAAGCACCAAUCCUUAAUCUGUGCUGUGGUUUUUGUUCAGAAACAUUUCUUUAAAAAAAUUUCCCCAGACGCUCAGCCUUCAUAUUCUAAUCUUUAUUAUUCUGAACUACCUACAAAGCUAAAUAUACCUUGUCUACAUGCAGUGCUUAUGUAACAAUGGUGCUUAUUUUGUUUUACAUUGCUUCAACCUCUGACCAGAAACUUAGAGGACAGAAUGCCCUGCUUUUACAAAAAAUGUGGUGACCACAACGGUAACCUUAUCUAAUUGAGACCAUUUUAGGAAGGAGGGGAGGAGAUAUUUUUACUGCAAAGACUGAGUCAUAAGCCUUCAUUUUUUACCCUGGGUUGUGCAGAAACUUUAAACUUUCUAUAUUAUUUCAUUUCUUCCAUACCAGGACAUUUAUUUCCUAUUCAGUGACAAUCUUGAUGUCUUCAUCCUUCAAACUGCUCUCUAACAUAGUUUCAAAAUCCAAGCAUUAAACAUUAUUAAUGCUCAGGGGAUGAAUAUGUUCAUUACCUUUACUGUAGUGAUGAUUUCCUAUGGCAAAAUGUUAAAUGAUGUAAAGAUAAAAAUAAUUAUCAUAGUUAUUAAUCAUAGCAAUAAAACUGGACUACCUAAAGCACA